RNAcentral lists this microRNA (21 nucleotides) under Nematostella vectensis (starlet sea anemone). RNAcentral's name for it is "nve-miR-2041a-5p". The record is from miRBase by way of RNAcentral. Lineage: Eukaryota; Metazoa; Cnidaria; Anthozoa; Actiniaria; Edwardsiidae.
AUUUUGCUCUUACGUUUCACU